Molecule: non-coding RNA, 17046 nt
Organism: Microcebus murinus (gray mouse lemur)
Lineage: Eukaryota; Metazoa; Chordata; Mammalia; Primates; Cheirogaleidae
Source: RefSeq, a predicted model, not a curated record
UGGUAGUGGGGAAAGCUGUGCAUGUUUGGGAGCAGGUGGAUUAGGAGAACUCUCUGUGCUUUCCACUUAAUUAUGCUGGGAUCCUAAACAUGCUGUCAAAAUAAAGCCUAUUUUAAAAAUGCAAGCUUUAUGGUUUUCAGAGGUGCCUGCAUGUGGAAGUUUUUUGAUAUUAUAAAAGGCUUCAUUGCCAGAGCCUUGAAAAGACUAACAUUCAGCUCCACAGAAGGGAGAGGAAAGGAACCACACUGGCAAGGCUUCCGGGGACCAUAAGGAGCCCUUGCUAAUGGCUCUCUGCAAGGGCUGUGCUGUGUGGUACCAGCCUGCACAGAGCUUUUCAGUUAGCAAGCAAGUUUUCCUGCCUGUUCCCUGCGUCUGCUUCUCGAAGACUAGAGAAGGAAAGUGGAGAGGGAUGCUUCUCACCUGAGUCUCUAAAAGGCUUUCAUUGAAGAUAAUCCCCUUCCCUUAGCAGAGAGGGGCCAGCUCUGAGGGAGGACGCUCAGGAGCAGCUGAAGCCGUGUUUACCAGCACAGCUGCCGCAGCCGCAAGAAUCUACUCCCUGCUGCCGCCGGCCCUGCCCCUUGCUGGCUGAACAAGGAGAAGGGUGUACUGAGUGACUUUGGCUCAUAAUUAUGGUAAUGGCUAACAUCUAAUGAUUUGUGCGAGGCAGAACACUAAGUGUUUUACAUGGAUCAUCUCAAUCCUCAAAAGAAUAGCAGCUACUAGUGCUUACUAUAUGUCGGGCACUGGUCUCAGAGCUUUAGAUAUGUCAUACUAAUUUAAUCAUGAAGAGAAGCUAAGGAGAGCCUCCCACUAUUUUUCCUGUUUUACAGAUGAAGAAACUGAGGCUUAGACAAACUGAAGAACUUGCCCGAUGUCACAUAGCUGCUAAGAGCCCCUCUCUAUGGAAGGAUAAUAUACUCCCGCCAUAUUGCAUGUGGACAAAGCCAUUGGAAACUACCAAUGAUCUUUACAACUUGAACCUCAAUUUCCUUUUGUGAAACGUUGUUGUAAUAACCAUCACCUUCCUGAUCUCACGGGAUGGUAUGAGGCUAAAAUGGCAUCAUUUAUAUGUCACAGUACACUGAAAAGGACCAUGCCCUAUAAAGGUAAGGCACUAUAAUUACAAUUGGAGUUUUCCUCUUUUAGUGAGUUGCAUGCACUGAUCUUUGCCUCUUUUCCACUUAAAUGUUCUGGGAGGAGGGGAUGGGUAUGCUCACACCCAAUGGGUGUGGUACACACUGUCUGGGGGAUGGACACGCUUGUAGCUUUCACUUGGGUGGGGCAAAGGCAAUAUAUAUAACUUAAACAUUUGUACCUCAUAAUAUUCUGAAAUAAAAAAAUGUUCUGAAGUGUAUCCUCAUUACAAAGUUUUAUAAGCAGUCAAGCACAUUACUCAUACUUGCCUGAGGAUGUCACUUCUGACUUGGGAGGACCAUUCUUUUUAAGCAUCCGGCUUUGAGAUGGACCCACAUGGAGUGGUGCUGAGACAUGUGGACACUCCCCUGGCCAGGCCAAUCAGCCCAGUUAUCUUUUAUUUCUUUCUUUUUCUUAUUUAAUAUAAUUUUCUUUCUUUUUUUUUUCUUUUUUACAGCGCUUUCCAGUUGGAAGCAGUUAUCUUUUCUGAACCAUAAGCAUAUCAUGUUCUGGCCAAACUGCUUUCACAUUCUGAAGAACAUUAUACAUGACAGGGAAUGCUGUUAUUUAUUUUACUAGGAAGAAUAAUACCAUGGAAAGGGCAUUAGAUUUAGAAUCAGACAGACCUGGCACAUAGUAGUCGCUCAAUAAAUAUUUGUUGAAUAGCUGAAUGAAUCAGCUCAAAUCUCACCAACAAUUUCUAGCUGUGUGAUCGUAUGCAAGAUAUUUUACCUCUCUGAGCUUCAGAUACCUCAGUUGUAAUUUACCAAAUCUUAACAUAAUAAUCUCUACUUCAAAGAGCUUUUUUUAAAGGAUUAAUGAAGUGGUAGACGUAUAAGGUUGAUCAAAAUGCUUAGCAAAGAUUGAAUAAACGUGAACCUUUAGUUUAUUAGCCAUGUUUUGUCCUGGAGUGGGUGACCAGCUUAUAGGGAAAAAAAAGGUGGGCUUUUGGGCUUGUUUGCAGGGCUUUGUCAAUGAAUGAGGUCUCUAGAUUCCUUCUGAAAAAAAUCAAUAGCAUUUUGACAAGAUUAUACUUUCUUUACCACUGAAGCAAUACUAUGUGAGUACACCAGAGGAAAGCAUUUCAAAUGCUUUUGUUACACAAAAGCUUCAAGGACUCUGCCCUGGAAAAAGCUUCCUUAACAAAAGGAACCACAUGGCCUCCCAUUUCCUGGCUUCUAGAUUGGUUUUCCAUCUCCUCUUAACCACACUGCCUUUAUCUCUCUGUGCCUGUGCCUGUAUCUGCCUCUUUAAUAUACUUGCAGGUGCUUGAAAGACCUUUCUGCAGGUGUUUCUUAGAAUCAAACUUAGGAAUUUAUAUGAGCAACAGAAAGGUAGAUGACACAUUUUUAAAUGAUCUGCAUCAACAAAGGGAGGAGAGAAGGAGCACUGGCCGGAUGAUGCCUGUGAUAUACCUGGUGCUUUUCCGGAUGUUUACCAUUUCAUUUAAUCUUCACAGCAACCGUGUGAGAUAAAUGACUCUAUUUAUUUAUUUUUCCAGUGGUGAUUUUAAAAUGAGGAUAAUAAGGUACAAAUAAGUGUUAGGGAUUUGCCCAAGGUCACAUACCCAAAAAGUGGCACAGCUGACAAUUGAAUGCAGGUCUGUUUAAUUCCCAAACCAUGUUCUUUGCCUGAUGUUUUCCCGGCCUCACUGUUUACUGACUAUUCACUACCUCACUGCAUGAUGCAACAAAGGAGUCUGGCAGCUUGCUGUGUUGUGGGGAGAGCCUCUGGAGCCAGGGGACUUGGGUUCUCGCUCUGAUAAUGUCAUUUGCUAAUUAUGUGGCCUUGGGCAGGUUACUUAUCAUCUCUGAGCCUCAAGUACUUCAUUAGUAAAAAGAGAAAAAUCACCUCUUUCAGGCAACGUCAUUGUGAGAACUAAAGACGAUGUAUGUAGAGUGCCUGGCAUAGGAGAGACAUUCAAUUAAUGGAAGUUACUGAUAUUAUUAUCAUUGUCAUCCACAAUAAAUUAAUCCAUGGAUAGGAUGAUGAACUCUACAGAGCUGUACUUGUUAAGUGUUCAAUGGGUGAAACAAAUAUCAUGCAUAUUUCAAAGGAGGUACAACGGGGAGAUUAUUUCUUGCUAGAGCAGCUGGGACAAGACUGAAGCCUAGUCGCUAGACUGUCCACUGGGGUAGGGACUGGACCUGUGUUUCUUUUUCUUAGCAUCGUCUUUCUAGGACCUAGGACAAUGGGUAGCAAGCACAGAGUUGGUGUUUAGUGAAAGUGUGAUGAUUGAAUGAAUGAAAGUUUGUCCUUAAAGGAUGGAUUUUGAAGGGGCAUAAAGAAGACCAGAGGGAAUACAAAAUGUGACUUAAAAAGGUAGAGUGGUCACAACACAUAGCAUUUAUAGGAGACAGAAAGCCAAAUAAUAUGGAUGGAGGAAAGAUGUGGUUAGAUAAGUAAACUGGGAGAUCACAGAAAUAGAGAGUUUCAAACACAGCACAGCUGUCAGCAGUAACUACUGAGAGUGCAAAGAAAGGCUAAUUUAGUGAUCAGGUGACGAAAAGGCCAGUGGCUGUCCUUCUUAUGAGAUAAUUACAGUACUAACUCCUCUGGUUGCUUUGGGGAUUAAAUGAAAUAUUACAUGUAAAGAGCUUGGCACAGUGCCUGACACGUAGUAGGCACUUAGCAAAUUAAUUAUUACUAAUAUCAAAUUAUUAUUCACACUUUGGGACAUUUCAGUGCGUAAGGAUAGCAGAAGCCACAUAGUGGAUGUAGGAGCAACAAACUAGAGAGACAGUGGAUGUCAAUAACCAUGGAGAACGUGCAGGUAUUUAGCACUGUUCAGGCCCCCUGGGGAGACAGAAAUGUAACUUCCUCCAGCUGCUUCUCAUAAUCCUGAGAUGUCCCUCAAGGACCUUAUUGCCAGAUACAGACUUAAGAUCUGUAUAAUGGCCAUAAUAUUAAGAGCCAGUUCUGCAAAUUGAUCUUAGGGACUCUUUCCUAUGACACCCCCUGCCCAGUCAGUUUCUCUCCUGCACCCAGAUGCCAUUCUCAGGAUAAACACAGGCAUAGAAGUAUCUAGGGCCUAGCCUUCAUCCAAAUAUGACUGAGUUACCUAAAGUGACUGUUUAAAUUACAUGAUCAACCUGCGAUUACGAGAUCAGACUAAAAUUUAUUUCAAAUUUUUUUCCUGCUUCCGGCAGGUUUUGUGAGGAGGAACGGAGAAGUUAUAGACUAAAUAAAGAGCAGUUUUAGAACAAAUGUUCUCUGCAUAGCUGAGUAGUGCCUUAGCAAUUUUAUGACCUCACUAUGCGAGUACUUAAAUAACUAUAAUACAAAGUAGAAAGUGAUAAACACAGAGUACAUAAGUGCUGUGGGAAUUUGGAGGAAUUGUUUCAGCUAAUUCAGGAAAGGUUUUUGUGAAGGAGACAGAACUGGAGCUGUUUUCGUCUCCAACAUUUGACUUUAAAAAAUUUAAAACAUAUAAAAAAAAGAAAGGAAUCAUAAAAUGAACACCUAUAUACCCGUCAAUGAGAUUUAAUGUUUAGUCAUCUCUUGGCAUAUUUUCUCACAUUUCCUCUAUAAAAAUACAUGCAUACAUAUAUAUUUGUAUGUACAUAUAAUAUACACAUUUUCUAAUCUUCAGGAUCAUUUGAGAGUAAGUUGCAGAUGUUAUGACAUCCCAUUUCUAAAUACUUCAGAGUGUAUCUCUUAUGAACAAAGAUUUUCUCCUACAAAACCAUAACAUUGCUGUCAUUAUCACCAAAGAAAAUUGAAGCAUCAUGACUGGCAUUGGAUUUUGGAAGAAUGGUAAGGUUUGGAUUUUUGAUAACAGCUUAAGUGCCCCUUGGGUGGGGGACACAGCGUGAGCACAGAUGUAGUGGCCUAUUGUAAUCCCUCCAUUUCAUGGGAAACCUCUCCCAGACCAGAAAGCUGAAGUGAUUUGCUAAAGGCCACAAAGGUAGUUUGGAAAGAGCUGGGACCAGGAACCACAUUUCCUGAGUCCCUUUGCAUUUCUCCCCACCACCCUUCUCUUCCUGGCAAGGGACUGCAUUUAGACUAUGACACACAUGGGCGCCCUUAAAUCAAUCUCAAUUUAAAAAGCUUUUUGUAUGGCUCCUCUCUAUGUGGGUUUCCAGGAUGUUGCAAUCCAAAUCCUGCCAGUUCUCCUGGAAGAGCAAGAUUUAAACAGGAGAAAUGGAAGUAGGAAUGGCUCAAUGCACAGUAGGUCGUGGAAAAAGCCAGGAAGAAUGUUCCAGGUCCCUGGGAAAUAGCAGCACUGUCACCUGCUCUGGCCUCUGCUCUCUGACUCCAUGGCCUUUAUGGACUGUGUGCUCCCCACUCUUGUUUUACUUUCCAUAGCAAGAGAAGAGGAGCAGAUGCAGCGAGAUAGCUGGGCUGGACAUCACUACCCUUGCAUGCUGGCCAGUCUCCACUUCUGACAGUCUCCGUGAUUUCAGACAGUGAUUCUCAACCAGGUGCAACUUCACUUUCCUGCAGCUAUUUGGCCAUGCCUGGAGGCAUUUUUGAUUGUCACUCUUGGAGGACUGCUAGUGGCAUCUACUUAGUAGAGGCCAGGGAUGCUGCUAAACAUUUUAACAGUACACAGGACGGCCCCUACCACAAAGGAUUGCUCAGUCCAAACUCUCAAUAGCACUGAGGUUGAAUACUUUGCUUUAGGCGAAUCACUCAUUUUCCUCAGACUUUAGUAUCAUCACUUUAAAAUGGGGACAUUUGGGCCAGCUCAGUGGCUUUCAGUUUUGAGAGUGCUUAAAAAUGCCCUGGGAUGCUCACUAAAAAUUGCAGGUUAUGGGCCCUAUCUUUAAGGAUUCAAUAGAUGGUACAGAGUCCACAUCUUGAGAAAUGCUACCCUUCUCGGCCGUUCCAUAUUCCAAUUCUGAAAAUGUGGAGUUCCCACCUGAACACAAGAUGAAUAUGGAAACAAGAAAUGAUAAUCUUAGACUCUCACACACACAUAUACCUCUACUCCCCCCGAUCCACAGAGAGUGGCCAGUGUGCAUGUUCUAAGACCUGAGGCCAGUUCCUUUUGCCCUUCCUUUGAAGCCUGUGGGUCCACUGACACCUGGUGUGAGUAAUUCUGUAGACAUGUCGCAGCGCCAGUUAUUCUGGAACACUUGGUGUGAAAAAACACCAGGAUACAACCAAUACUCCUUUCCAUUCAAGUGUCAACUCUUCCAAGCAUCUUCAUUUAAGCAGAGGCACUUUGUAACACAAAGCCAUCAUCUGGCAUUUUCCGGUUUGUAUGGAUUGGUGUACAGGGCACUAUCAAAGAGGGUGUAGACAUGUUUUAUUGUUUGCUUGUUGUGGGGUUUGGAUAGGACAAAAAAGAAAUCUUUUUAAACCAUAUGUUAUUUUGGGGGUAGGAGGAGGCUGGGUGUGUUACCACUGUUGGCAAAGGCAUGGCUCCAAGUGUACUCACAGCUACUGAGCAUUGGACAUCUUCUCUGUGUCAGACGAGAUGGUUGUGUGACAUCACUUAAAUCUCAUGGAGCCCUGCAAGGAAGAAAUUAUUUUUCCCUUUUUCAGAAGGAAGGACUGAUACUCAGAGAUAUUUGGUAAUUUGCCCAAGAUCACACUGUUAAUGAGUGGCAAAGUCCACUUAUCAACUCAGGAUUGUUUAAUUCCAAAGUUCAUGUGUUAUUACUUUUAAUUGCUCCUGUAGGGAUUGGAGGUGACCCUGGAACGGCAGAGACAGAGAAGAUAGAGGUUGCCAGACAAAACAACUGCUCACAUGGCCUCUCCCCAAACACCUAGGAUGAGAAAGUGGCAUUAUUGAAUUUGAUAUAUGUACACAUUGAUUUCUGGUGGAAGAGAAGCAAAGCAAAACAACUAAUAAACAUCAACCUUAAUUGGCCAGCAAAAGAAGAGAAUGGAAGCUCGGAUAGUUCAGGGGCAAAUAGUGCUUGCAUCUCCAGCAGAGUGGCACUUGAUCCCCUCCCUGAGGUUGUUUGACUCAGGUAAUGUCUAACAUGGUAUCUCUGUCAGGUGAUGUCUUAAAGCUUAAAUGAAAUAUCGGUACAAGGCACUAAGGAGUUAGACAAAAUAAAGUCAUGAAAAUCUAUGUUAGUAAUAGAGGAACUUCAGGGAUUAUAAUUUGUCUUCAUUUAGAGAAUUUUCUAAUAUGAAUGGCUUAAUGUAAUAAAACCACAAGCAUCUAAAAAGAAUACAGGUACCAUUGGUUCAGUUAGUCCUUCUUUUUAGUUUAAUGAAUAGGAAUAGAAGUGAGGGGACUGGUUGCAUGGCACAAUGUGGCAGAGAACACCCACAUUUCCACCAGAGGACGAGAGAACCCCAACUCAGGAGAUACGAGUCCUGGUACCAGGACUACUGCACUACUGUGUGACUUGGGACAACUUUGUCUGCUCCGAGACUCAAUUUACUUAUUUGUUACAUGAAACCAUUGGGCCAGAUCCUAUCCAGCUCUAAAAUUCAUUUUUUUUAAGUUCAUUUUAAAAUAUCUUAGAAUCCUUAAAUUUCCACACAGUGUUUGGCAUAAAACUGGGGAAUAGCCAAUGUUUAUUAAAUGAAUAAACAAACAAGUGUCUGCACAGGUCCCAAGUUCAGUCUGUUAGACUGAUGGUCUUUCAGAAUUACAAGGAUUACCCAGUAAGGAUAACACAUUUAGUAAAUACCUGUUCACUGAUUUCUUACUGUGUAUGGAAGACAGCCUUUAAGAUGGGCCCCAAUGACCACCACCUCCUGGUGUUCGUGCUCUUGUGUAAUCCCUUCCUCUUGAAGGUAGGCUGGAUAUACUGACUUACUUCUAACAGAGUACAACAGAAGUGAUGGGUUGUCAUUUCUGAGAUUACGUUACAAAAAGACUGUGACUUCUGGUUUGUUCUCUCUUUCUCUCUCUCUCUCUCUCUCUCUCUCAACCUUUGCCCUGAGGAAAGCCAGCUGCCAUGUGGCAGCUGUCCUAUGGAGAGACGCUUGCAACAGAGAACUGAUGUCCCCAGACAACAUCCAGGAAGGACCUGAGGACAGCCAAGAGUCACAUGAGGGAGCUUGGAAGUGAGACCUUCCUCAGUUGAUCCUUGAGAUGACCGCAGCCUUGCUGGACACCUCAACUGUAGCCUCGCCAGAGACUCUAAGCCAUGCCCAGGUUUCUGACCCACAGAAACUGAGCUAAUAAAUGUUUGUCAUUUUAAACUGAUAAAUUUUGGGGUAAUUUGCUACACAGAAAUAAAUGAUGAAUUAUGCUAUGUACAAAAAGAAACUGAAUUAGAAAAUUCAAAAUUCUCUAACUGAAUUAGAGAUUCAUAUAAUCUAAAUAAGAGAUACAACAAAUAUACCAAUUACUAUUAUGUAGAGUUGUAAUAGUAAUAAUAACUAAUUCCUAUAGAGAGUUGACAACAUGCUCCAAACUAACACACACAAACACACACACAUAUCAACCCACUUAUUCUUUACAACAAUAUUGAGGUGCAUAAUAUGACCAUUCCAUUUUACAGAUGAAGAAACAGAGUCAUAGAAAGGGUAAGUCAGUUGCUCAAGGCCACACAGCCAGUAAAGGCAGUAAUAAAUGGUUGAUUAAAAGUUUAAACCCAAUUUCCAGAUGGCUUGUUUGUUACCACCAAGCUGCACUGUACCUAUAAAUGAGACAAGGGAAGUAUCAUGAAAUGACAAGAGGUUCAAGAGGAGUGAUUUCAUCCAGUCUGAGGGAUAAGAAUAAGGUUUUAUGGAGGAGGUGACUUGUAGAUGGACAGCAUUACCUUAGUGAGAUGGAAACAGGGCAUCCCAAAUAAAGUUCCCUGUUGAAGGAAUCACAGAGAGAACCCAAAGGAAGGAAAGACAAGCAUGUGAUUGAAACUGAAACAGUUCUGUAAUGCAGUCUGUUUCUCAUGAGGCCAUUAGUAGCCAGGCCCAGGAAGAAUGGGUUACAGAAUGGUUUAAUUUUUCUGGGGCACAGUUAGUCAGGAAAGUCUUACCAGUGGUAGAGCAGCAUUUAGGUGGAGUUAUUAUCUGACUUGUCUUCACCUAUUCCUCACUUAUUCUCCUAAAUCUUGAUUUCAUACCUUCUGUUCUCUGCCUUUGAAUUCUACCUGAUAGUCAUUCUAUUCUUUCUUUGAGGUGAGACCCACCUCCUCAUCUAAUGUUUCUAUUCUUACAGCCCUUGGAUGGCACCAAAUAAAAUAGAAAAAUACCCAGGAUUUCAAAUAUAGUAUAAAAUGUGAGAUCUGGAUAUAUUAGUACUCUUCUGAUGCCCCAUCAAAGUAGUCAUUUCUCAUAUUUUAAACAGUUGGGAACUUCCUAAAUGGUCACUCAAUGAUUCUACAAAGGUAUACUUCACUUGAUGGAGCUAUACUAGCUAUACUCAUGUAAUGACCAACUAAUAUAAUUACUAGAAUUUUCCAGAACCUUCCAUCUUAUAUUUUGCUAAUUGUAUAUGGUUAUUACUAAAAUUGCCACUGGCAAUCCUUCAUUCCUUUGGCAAUCCUUUCUUUAUUUAUUAUACUAGUGCCAGCGAUGUGGACACAUUGCAUACUAUUCAGUUCACCUUUGCCUCGCACAGAUGGAGCAAAGCUCAUGAAGUCAGCCUGCAGGAUGAAAGGAGGCUGCAACUUCCCAUUUUCUGCUAGAGGGAUUUCAACGCUCCCAUUCCAGUCGACCAUGUUGGAUCUCAAGAGUUCAACUCAGAUGCAAAGUCUCAUUUUCAGAGGUGUUACAUUUGCAUAAUUUGACAGCUGGGGAUAUCAGUAGCUCAGGUAAAUCAAAUGCAUUUGCACCUCUGCACAAAUGAAAAUUUGCUCCUUUUCCCCAGGCCCCCAUCAUCCUGUUAUAACCAUUCCUUAGCCCUGGCUCCUUUUUAGACUUCCUCGCCACAUUGCGUCUCAUGCUCAGAAAUAACUUUGGCUCUGUAGUCAUUUCCCAUGCCACCUCUGUGUACCUUCCAGAAGAGUACAAGGCUUAUUAGUUAUUGUGGUGGUGAAGGAAGGGAGCUUCAGCCUCAGGUGACCCAGGCUCAAUCCUGUUUUGUACCAACCAAAGCCAAGCCACCACCAUCUCCUGCCUGGCCCUCUGAAGUAGCCUCCUAAUUGGUCUUUCUGCACUUGUUCCAGGCUCUAAUUCUUCUCUCCAUAUAGUGGACAGAAUAAUCACCUAAAACAAUUAUUUUACUAUGUUUUAAAUUUAAGAACAAUGUAUGAAUAUAGUUUUCCUUUUUAAAAAAGAAAAGUUCAAAAGUGAAUGCAAUGAAAAAUCAGUCUCUCUACUAAGUCAACUCUGUAUUCCCCGAGGAUCUCUUCCUAUAAGCAACCACAUUUACCAGUUGAUUGUAUAUUUUUCAGAAAUAGUUUAUGUAUACACAUAUUUAUCAGAUAUAUACAUAGAUACUUUUCAUUUUUUUCUAUACAUGAAUGAUUUUAAUAUAUAAAUUUGAUCAUGACAUAUAACAACAGCAGCUCCCCACUAACCUGAAGUUAAUGUCCAGAAUUUUUAACACGAUCUUCAACAUCUUGCAUGAUCCGGCUCCUGUCCAACUGUACAAAUUUGUCUCAUGCCAUUCUCAUCUUUAUUUUCUUCCACACUGCGUUUAUAUCAGGUCCUGAAACUUCUAAUCUUAGCACCUAAGAUUCUUUGUACAUGUUUUUCUCUUUGACAUGGAAACUGUGGCUGCCUCUUCAAUAUCCAUCCCAUCUAUGCUUAGCGGCCAUAUGUUUAGAUGGAAUGGACCCACCCUAGGGCUCAAGGGUACACAGAUUUCAUUCUCCUUACCACAGUGAUUGGUUCAGGCAUCCAUUGAUUAGAAUGAUUGGUUUGGGGUGGCUUAAUCAGCAUAAGAAGGAGAUUCUCUUUUUCUCUCACUGAAUGUAAACAUGCAAGUUCUGGUUGUCAUUGAUAGACAUUAUCAUGAUAGAAACCAAGGGACUGAAACCAACAUAUAAUUUGGAAGGGCAAUUAGUGUCUGAGAAAUAAAGCCAGAGCCUUGAUCAAACUGUGCCUGACACUGUCAGUUACCUAAAUAACUUUUAGUGUUUUAAGCAAAUUUGCUUUGAAUUUUCUAGGACCUGCAGACAAAUUAAGGCAUCCUAAUACAUCCCUCCUUUCUUGUAUCUGGCUAACUCUUAGUCAGCCCCAGGCCUCUAAAAUAUUAAUUCCUUAGAGAGGCUUUCUCUGACUUUCCCAGACUAGGUCGGGUCUUUCUUUCCUCUGUUUUCCUUGCAUUGAGACUUUUCCCACCUCCCUCCAUACUUGUCACAACAGUAAUGAAUGAUUAUUUUUAAUGUUCCUCUCCCCUAGUGGCCUAUAAAUUAAGUGAAGUUGGGGCCAUGCCUAUCCGGUUCACUGUUCUAGCCCCAGGUUUCUGGCAUGUACCUCACACUUACGAAUUGCUCAAUAAAUAUUUAUUGGAUGCAAAAGUGAAUAAAUGAUAGAAUUUAUUAUGGAUACAUUAAUCUUUCACAAUGAUUUUUAAGCGAAUGUUAGCAGUGUUCCCAUAGAUUGAACUAUUUUUUUUUUUUUUAAUCUUUAGUCUAACUCAGGCAAAAUAUCCCAACUGCCCAGGAUAUUUCACCAGCUGAAAUUCAAUUUCUAUCACUGACUCUCUGGGGAGGAUGUGUGAGUGACAGUUAAGAGCCCCACUCCAGUGCAGGUCAGAAUCCUGGACUAAACACAACCCAAAUCUUCCAUCUACUGGGUUUCUGGUUUCAGCCAAAUUACUGAACUUCAAGCCUCAAUAUUUUUUAUCUUUAAAAUUCAGAUUAUAAUGGUAUCUGCUUCACAGGAUGGCUGUGACGAUUAAAUGAUGCAAUGCAUGUAAUGCACCUAUCUCAAUAGUAUGUACUCACAUACAGUAUUUUCUAUUGCAUAGUAAAUAAUAAAUAUAUUACAUGAUAAUACUCACUAUAUGUAGCUACUAGUUAUCAUUAUAGUAGUUGGACCUCUAGGGUUUCCAAACUCUAGGACUGGAAAAUGAGAUUUCUCUUAACUCUACUCCAGGGCUUUGAGGGGCGUUACUUAUGAAUGAUUUAACAUAGAUAGAAUGGACCAAAUGUUGGAUUUUUGAUUAUUUCUGCUUGAUUCAGAUUCUUGUGUAACCCCGUGAUUUUGAACAGCUAUUGUUCUCCAAAAAUGAGAAUGGAUUUAAAGGAAUAUUUAUAUUGAUUUAUUGUUGGUUGUUGAAAUGUAAAUAGCCCUGAAUGUGCCACUCGCUGGGAAAGGACAGUGCUUUUCAUAAUGGACAAAAUAGCCUUGUUUCACUUUAAUAACCUGCUUGUGGUCACACCAGUCAUGGGGUUCCUUAAACAUAGCAGAAUGCCUGCUAUUGUCAUUUACAUAUCAAUGAGCAGACAUCUCUCUGCUAGUUGCUGUCACAUAGCACUGCCUCUUCCCUAACUUGGGGACUGUGCUGAGUUUAUAUGUGAAAUGAACAAAUCUUUCAUACAGACACGCAUAUCCCAAGCCUCUGCAACAGCUGCUAAGGCAGUUAUACAACUUGUCUAUUGUUUAUUUGUAGAAGUUGGAAGGGUUAGAAAUAAAUUGCCUACCCCUAGAAUUUUAUGGACAUAUGUGUGCUUAUUUCUUUUACAGAAGUAUGCCAUGAACAAUCAUUCUGGGUUUCCCAAGUUGAGUGCAUCAGAUGAAGUAGGCUUAAAUAAGGAAAAACAAUCAAACAAACACCCCAAAACACAGCAUUGCUUACACAGGAAACUCUGACUUUAAAAUUCAGAGGAAAAAUAAAAAAAAAAAAUUGUUUUCUCUGCUUAUUACCUCAUUCUCGCCAAUGCAUUUUCUGGGUUGGAAAUAGCCCUUCUACUUCAUCGACUUAGAAAUAAAUGGCAUAUUAGUCUCUCCCUCAAGGGCCACUGAGGGAAUGGAGGUUGAAUGCAAAGUUAUGUGAUUCUAGAGUGAUGCCCAGGGCAGCCCAGGAAGUCAUGACUGCUAGCUUAGAAAUCAUCGCUAGUCCUCUUUAAUGAGCCCUAGCAUCAUGCUCCUAAUAAUCUUUUUAGGUGACCUUAAUCGCCACUGCAGCGUUAAACAGCAGUUUCACCACAGAGCCAUGAUUUGGCCAUGGAUUUAUUAUUCAGACCAGGUCAGGAGGAACUCAAAAGCUGAGGAAACAGAGUCUCCAUAACCUUGUCAUACUAGCGACAGCUGCACUUCCAUACUGUGAAAGAAUCGCUUAAACACCCAUGUAGUCCCAGAUUUUUUUAAAUUGAAAAUUGGUUAUCAAUAUCAUACUCAUCUUUAGAAAAACUGUGAGGAACACACCGUCCCCCCCCCACACACAUACACACACACAUAUAUGAAAUCACAAUAAUCAUGCUUGUUAUCUGCUUGGCACUGAUCAAGAUUCUACCUGGGAAUUAACUCAUAUAAUUCUCUUCUCCAACAGUACGAUGAGACACAUGCUAUUAUUAUCCAAUUUUCCUGUUGAGCAACUGAGGUAGGGAGAGGUUCAGUAAUUUGCCUGUGGUAGGAGUGCAGAUAUGAAAUGCACACGUCUGUCUCUUUCCUGCAGAUGUGUGUACGAACUGGAGGCAACCAUUGCUGAGGCGGUUAACCAACUUCCUUAUUGUGUAUUUGUAGAAGUUGUGAUAGUAGGAGAUAAAUUGCCCAUCCCUUCUGUCUUACUAUAUAGAUACUAUGUCAAGGAGCUAUUAAGGAUAAUAAUAAUAAUUAGCAUUAAUUGGGUGCUUCCUAGGCCAGGCUAGCAUUCUUAUACAGGCUUUAUGCAUAUUGUCUUGUUUCAUCCUCACAAUAGCCCAAAGAAAGAGUUAUGAUGAUGCUCAUUUCAGGCUGACAUUAUCUAAACCCGAUGGGAUUUAAAUACUUUGCCUAAGUCAUACAUCUAAGAAGCAGGAGAGCAGGGAUUUGAACUCCUGAAAUUGUGUGAUUAAUCAGUGGUGCCUCUAGAUGGCAAAACUCUUCCUCCAGGUCCCGGGGAAAAUGGCGGGUGUCUCCGUGCUGUGCUGACUGCCAAGGACACGAACAAACCUAUUGGAUGUCUUCUCCCUCUGCCAAACCUCAGGAUCUUUCUAGUCUCUUUUCUCAUAUCACAUUGCCUCCAUCCAUACUUCCCUUUCUAGUGUUCGAUUUCUUUCAGAGCUGGCUUGGCCUUGUUGGCAGAGGUCCAAUCUGAGAACCUACUUUACAACCACAUAUAGUGGGAGCAAAUAAGUUAAUAUGUUCCAGAUACUCACAUAUUUUUGGCAUAGAAUCUAACCAAUACAAUCACAGCUUAUUAUCCUUCACAGGCAACAAUCAUUCUUUUAUUUGUUCAAUAAACAUUGAGUGACUAUGAUGGCCUGGGCACUGUGCUAGGUCUGCAUUAGCAUCUGUGACAGGAGCAUUUUGGAAAUGCAAUGCCCCAUUCAUCGGAGUGACUUUAAUGGUGGAGCCUUUGGCACCUUGGCAAGCCGGCUUUUGGGCCCCUCUCAAGUCUCAUUAGCUCAUUGGCCAUGGACUCUGCUCAUCUCAACUGCUGGUCUUGCUGUCUUGCUGGCACCACCUCUGAAAAAAGUGACACAGUUUGAUUCCAUUGUGAAAAAAUAGGGUUAGAUGAAUAUUUUUUUACAGAUCUAAAGGAUGCCAUUUUUGGACCAGGAACAUAAAAUUGAUGAAAUGGAACUUAAGUGACUUGGAAUUAAGCUUCAGAAAAGAGGUUUACAUCAAUCUCCAUGAUGGAAUUGGGACAAUGUCUUCAUUAUUAUUAUUAUUAUUAUUAUUACUUUUUGUUCAGUUUAUUUAAAUAACUGGGGUUUUCUUUGGUCUAUUUCCAGCCUGUUAGCAAGCUCAUUUCUGUGGCCAGGCCUUGCUCCUGCUACUCUUGUUUUUGAUUUUGUUUUUUUUUUUUCCUAAUAGAACCUUGUCUUUAUCUCUCAUGCAGGGUGACCAUCAUCUGCAAGUUGUUUGUUGAGAGUCCCCUCUGACUUCAGAACAACCAAUUUAUGGUGACAUGAACAAGUCAAGGGACUCAGAGCUAAAACAGGCAGGAUUGCUAGAUCUAAUGAAGACCCUGUCAGGCCUCAUUUGGAUCUAGUUAAUGAGGAUCUGAUUGAAUUUGCCAUCUUUAUAACAUUGUGAGGUCUUUGGGGCCAGUAAAUGAUUUCCCUUAUUUUUCUGCACAGAAACAAGGAUGAGGUCGAGUUGUCAGUGUAAACAUUUGUAUGGCAUACGUCAUCAGACAUCAUGCCCUUGGUGGAUGAUUUGCUAGGUCAUCUUAGAGAGGCCAUUUAAUCUUUCUGUGUUUUAGCUUUUCCACCUGUGAAAGUAUGGUUACACAUAUAGGACUUCGAAGGAAAGAGCAAUUAGGAAGAAUAUAUAGGGUGUGUUAACUUGAGGGGCUUUUGCAACAGAAACUUGCUUCACUUUUUGUUAGAGGGAGUGUCACCUUGAGGUGAUAUAACAUUUUUUUUUUUUUUAUGGCAAGAUAAUCUGAUAAAAAGUGCUUGCCAAGCAAACAUCAGAUCUGAGGGAAGGGAGGGAUCAUUCCUGCUAUUUCAAUCCAUCUGGAGGUAACUUCUGACAAGGGUUUUUCGGACCGAAGUUUCUCCAAGGGAAAAAUUGAAACCGUAAGACCACUGUUUGGCAGUCCAAAUUAAAUGUGCCCACAAUUUAAAAAGACGAAUUCGUAUGUGCUCAGCUUCAAAUUAUAAAUUACCAAUAACAUCUUGUGGUUUUGUUGUUUUGCUGUGGAGGGACUUUGCUGCUGAAAGCAGUCUUGCGGCUGCUUUUCACACACAGUUUGUAAACAACAGCAAGCCUUGACUAUGCUGUUAGUCUUUGAAGUUGUGGAGGUUAGCACACUCUGAUUUCCUUGUCUCCUGUUAUGAUCCAGAUUGCCCCAGAUCUCCCAGACCAGAUAUGUUUUUUUAUAAAUAUACACACAACCAAUCAGUGUUUAUUUUGGGGUUACUAAAACGGUUCCAGUAAAUUCUUUAGUAAAAACCCUGGAUGAAAUACAUCUCAAAUCAGAGAACAGUUUUGCUUCUAUGACAUCCAAUUGCUAUAUUUUAAAAGACUGGUAUAAACUUUUUCAUAUGUACAAGUGAAACUCAGUGGAGCCUUUUAUUUCACGUCACCUUCUUGCACGCCCACUCCCUUCCCCCCUCCCCCUUCUUGAAACUGCAAGCAUGAGACUUGUUGCUUUCAUCUGUGUGAAUUUCCCAUUGGCUGUGCCCCAACUCUCAGAAUCAUUCUCUUUCCCCCAGGGGAAUCGCCAGAUGCUCAGUAGGUGAUCAAUGUGCCCUGUGCUGUUCAGCUUUGCCUGGGCUUGCCUGUGUGUCCUCCAAAAAUGUAAACAGAGACACCCAACUCUGCCUCAGGUUGGAGGGAAGGACCUCAAAUCAGUCACAGACCCAAACAAACAAUGCAGGAAAUGCUGCUUCUUCCCCCAAUCGGUGCAGGAGGAUGGGCUGUCUCAUUAUACAGUGCUAAUGGUGUCUGAAAUAUGAGGGUUCUGUGGAAUAAAAAGCUACCUGUUAAGAGCUAUGACAAAUUGUCAAUCUGUGUUACACCACACUUUAAACAUUCCCAGCAAUGUCAUUUCUGCCAGUAUAAUAGGGAAAUAGUUAUGUGGUUAAAGCUUUAAAUCAAUAGUUAAGUUAAUUGCAUAUUUGUAAUAGCUCAAAAUUGAAAUGGACUUAAAUGUCCAACAAGAAGAAUUUGAUUAAAUAACUUAUGCUAUCUACCUGUCUGUCUGUCCAUCUCUCUCUUCCAAAUAUACCUAUUUCUGCCAUUUAAAAUGAGGGUGUAAAUGGUCUUUUUAAAAUUUAAGUUAGAAACACCUUGGAGAGCUUAAUAAAACUUAUAAACCAGGAGAAAACUUGUUCAACAUUCGUUCAACAUUAUCAAGUUAACAUCAAAAGAUUUCAACAAAAACUUGUCUCUCACUUAAUGUUUAGGAAUAAUCUAAAUGUACUAGAAAUAAUUAAUAAUUCAGAUGUAAGCAGUAGUGGAACAAGCAGGUUAGAGAACAGUAUAAUCCCAUUUUUGUAAAAAAAA